RNAcentral lists this ribosomal RNA (388 nucleotides) under uncultured bacterium. RNAcentral's name for it is "bacterial SSU rRNA". It matches the Rfam family "Bacterial small subunit ribosomal RNA", at positions 29 to 418 of the family's 1533-position model. The record is from RNAcentral.
AUUAAACGCUGGCGGCAUGCCUUACACAUGCAAGUCGAACGGCAGCACGGGGGCAACCCUGGUGGCGAGUGGCGAACGGGUGAGUAAAGCAUCGGAACGUGCCCUGGAGUGGGGGAUAACGUAGCGAAAGUUACGCUAAUACCGCAUAUUCUGUGAGCAGGAAAGCAGGGGAUCGCAAGACCUUGCGCUUUGGGAGCGGCCGAUGUCGGAUUAGCUAGUUGGUGGGGUAAAGGCCUACCAAGGCGACGAUCCGUAGCGGGUCUGAGAGGAUGAUCCGCCACACUGGGACUGAGACACGGCCCAGACUCCUACGGGAGGCAGCAGUGGGGAAUUUUGGACAAUGGGCGCAAGCCUGAUCCAGCCAUGCCGCGUGAGUGAAGAAGGCCUC